Non-coding RNA from Arachis ipaensis, 1107 nucleotides. The record is from RefSeq and is a predicted model, not a curated record. NCBI's taxonomy places the organism in Eukaryota, Viridiplantae, Streptophyta, Magnoliopsida, Fabales, Fabaceae.
AUGGAGAGCUAUAUAAAAAAAAUAAAAAAUUUAAAAUUUAUUUUUUGAUGAAGAGAAGAUGACCACUGGACAAGAAAUAGAAAAAAAAAUUGAAAAUAUAAAAAUAAGAAGAGAGUUUAAGGGAAUAAAGGAGUAACGACACAAGAAUUAAAUUUGAUUAGGUUAAAUAAUAAUCAAAUGAUAAAAAAAUAAAAAAGUGAAUUUGAAACUUUAACUAAUUGGGUUUAAUUUAUUUGUAGUGGGAUCAUUUAAAAUUUGAAGUGGGAGCAUAUUAUAUAUAACUAUAUUUUUUUUAAAAAAAAAUUAAAAAGUGGGGGCAAGUGCCCCCUCAUUGUUGCCCCUCAUUGUUGCUACUGGGUCCGUCCCUGUUCUUCACCAAGUCCUCUUAACGUAGCUUCAAUGUAUUCAUCUUUGGAUAGCGAGGCUCCAAGAGCAUUGAGCGCAUCGGCUACUUGAUUAAUCUUUGACAUGUAUUCUGCUACUGUUGAACCUUGUUUCUUGAGUGCUUUCAGCUGCGUUUUGAGUUGUUUAAUCCUAAAUUUGACUCUGGCUUCAAAAUAUUCGUUCAACCCAUUCCAGAUAUCAUAUGCAUAAUCGUAUUCGAUCUCAUGAUUAACGAAAUUGGACUCCAUCGUUGUCAUUAGCCAAGCUACAAGGCACUGAUCUUGCACUUCCCAAUCGAUAUAAUCUUGAGCUUCAAUUAUAUUGAUUCUAUCUGUUUUUGAGCUGAACCGUGGAGUGUUGUCCAUGGACCGAAGAAACUCUGAUACCAUGUGAAGGUAUCAAAUUCUCUAAGAUAACGAAGAGAGGAUGAGAAAGAAUAUGAGAAGUUGAAAGAAAAUAUCUGAUAUUUUCUUUGGAGAGAAGUUUUAUACUUUUAUUGACAAAUCUAACUAAUUGGUACAAUGUGUAAAUAUUUAUAUGAAAGCUAAUUGACUCUAGUGCUGACUUAUACCUUAUUUGACUAGUUCUAACAAACUAAUUGACUCCAGCUAACUGCAUGUACUUUAUCAUAUGUACUCUCAAUACUCUUAAUACUCUUAACAUCAAUCCUAUUGCUUGAGCUUCGAGGAUCUGCUACCUUUUAUAUGCUAUCUCAGUGUUUUU